UGGGGUAUAGCCAAGCGGUAAGGCAGCGGGUUUUGAUCCCGCGAUUCCGAGGUUCGAAUCCUCGUACCCCAG
This 72-nucleotide transfer RNA is filed under the name Aliidiomarina maris. RNAcentral's name for it is "tRNA-Gln". It matches the Rfam family "tRNA". Rfam says of the family: Transfer RNA (tRNA) molecules are approximately 80 nucleotides in length. Their secondary structure includes four short double-helical elements and three loops (D, anti-codon, and T loops). The record is from RNAcentral. Lineage: Bacteria; Pseudomonadati; Pseudomonadota; Gammaproteobacteria; Alteromonadales; Idiomarinaceae.